ACGGGGUGCAGCAGGCGCGAAACCUUUACAAUGCUGGCAACAGCGAUAGGGGGACCUCGAGUGCCACCGUACAACGGUGGCUGUCGUUGUGUCUAAAAAACACGAUAUAGCAAGGGCCGGGCAAGACCGGUGCCAGCCGCCGCGGUAACACCGGCGGCUCGAGUGGUAACCGUUAUUAUUGGGUUUAAAGGGUCUGUAGCCGGCCGGAUAAGUCUCUUGGGAAAUCUGGCAGCUCAACUGUCAGGCUUUCAGGAGAUACUGUUCGGCUCGAGACCGGGAGAGGUGAGAGGUACUUCAGGGGUAGGGGUGAAAUCUUGUAAUCCUUGAAGGACCACCGGUGGCGAAGGCGUCUCACCAGAACGGAUCUGACGGCAAGGGACGAAAGCUAGGGGCACGAACCGGAUUAGAUACCCGGGUAGUCCUAGCCGUAAACAAUACUCGCUAGGUGUCGGCCACGGUGCGACCGUGGUCGGUGCCGUAGGGAAACCGUGAAGCGAGCCACCUGGGAAGUACGGCCGCAAGGCUGAAACUUAAAGGAAUUGGCGGGGGAGCAC
This 554-nucleotide ribosomal RNA is filed under the name uncultured euryarchaeote. Its description in RNAcentral is "bacterial SSU rRNA". It matches the Rfam family "Archaeal small subunit ribosomal RNA", at positions 325 to 879 of the family's 1478-position model. The record is from RNAcentral. Lineage: Archaea; Methanobacteriati; Methanobacteriota.